AUACGUAGGGAGCGAGCGUUGUCCGGAAUUACUGGGUGUAAAGGGAGCGUAGGCGUGAGUGCAAGUCAGAUGUGAAAUACAUGGGCUCAACCCAUGGGCUGCAUUUGAAACUGCAUUUCUUGAGUGAAGUAGAGGUAAGCGGAAUUCCUGGUGUAGCGGUGAAAUGCGUAGAUAUCAGGAGGAACACCGGUGGCGAAGGCGGCUUACUGGGCUUUUACUGACGCUGAGGCUCGAAAGCGUGGGGAGCAAACAGGAUUAGAUACCCUGGUAGUCCACGCUGUAAACGAUGAUUACUAGGUGUGGGGGGACUGACCCCUUCCGUGCCGCAGUUAACACAAUAAGUAAUCCACCUGGGGAGUACGGCCGCAAGGUUGAAACUUAAAGGAAUUGACGGGG
Molecule: ribosomal RNA, 396 nt
Filed under: uncultured bacterium
Lineage: Bacteria
Description: partial 16S ribosomal RNA
Rfam family: Bacterial small subunit ribosomal RNA
Source: RNAcentral